RNAcentral lists this ribosomal RNA (414 nucleotides) under uncultured bacterium. Its description in RNAcentral is "bacterial SSU rRNA". It matches the Rfam family "Bacterial small subunit ribosomal RNA", at positions 29 to 489 of the family's 1533-position model. The record is from RNAcentral.
AACGAACGCUGGCGGCAGGCCUAACACAUGCAAGUCGAACGCCGUAGCAAUACGGAGUGGCAGACGGGUGAGUAACACGUGGGAACAUACCCUUCGGUUCGGAAUAACUCAGGGAAACUUGAGCUAAUACCGGAUACGUCCGCGAGGAGAAAGAUUCAUCGCCGGAGGAUUGGCCCGCGUCUGAUUAGCUUGUUGGUGAGGUAAUGGCUCACCAAGGCGACGAUCAGUAGCUGGUCUGAGAGGAUGAUCAGCCACAUUGGGACUGAGACACGGCCCAAACUCCUACGGGAGGCAGCAGUGGGGAAUAUUGGACAAUGGGCGCAAGCCUGAUCCAGCCAUGCCGCGUGAGUGAUGAAGGCCUAGGGUUGUAAAGCUCUUUUACCCGGGAAGAUAAUGACUGUACCGGGAGAAUAA